AGAAAAGCAUCACAAGAAACAAACAGGUAAAACGUGAUGGAAGUUCAAAGCAGGAAAAGAUGGGAAGGGUGCAGAGCAGAUAGGGAGAGGAGGAAAAAAGAAGAAUCUGAGAAGGCUUUUUAGGAAGAAUUUAAAGAGGCAUAAUAUAAAUUUGUUAUAAAUUUUAUAGCUUAAGCUGAGGUAGGCAAACUUUUUCUGCAGAGGGGCAGAUAGUAAAUAUUUUAGGCUGUGAGGGUCAUAUGGUCUUUGUUGCAACUACUCAACUCUUCAGUUGCAGUGUAAAAGCAGCCGCAGAAAAUAAAUAGACAUUGAGCAUGGCUGUGUUCCCAUGAAGCUUUAUUUAUAAACAUAGGUGGUGGGCCAGAUUUGGUCCACAAGCUGCAGUUGGCUGGUCCGUGUUUUAAGCCAUGCUGUAGGCAUCCAGGGAAAGUUAGCAUAAUCAUGAAAGGAUUUACAGAAGAAACAUAGUGCUUUGGUUAAGAUUUGAUGAAUGGAUACAACUUGAAUAUCAAGGAAGAACAAUCAAGAAGGUAGAAUUAACAAUUUUUAUGAGAUACCAAAGAGACCAGGCCCUCAAGAGUCUCAAAUAGAGCAUUUGGAGGGAGGAAAUAUUUGAAAUACAGCUAGUUUAAGUAGAAUUUGCGGAGAGCCUUGAUAGAAAAGUAAAGAAGUUUAGAUGUAAGACAAGGGGAAUUAGGCAACCAUUGAUACGUUUCGAGCUCGAAAAUUAUGGCAUGCAAAUAUUUUUUAGGUUGCUGAGUAAGUUCAAGCACUGGCCUCUGGGGCCAUGAAAACAUGCAAAGCAGAGGUCCUGAGGACUAUACCCACAGGAUUAAAAACGUGCCCUUGUCCCCAGCCAGCAAGUGGUCAUGAUGGCACCUGUUCCCAUACAGAACUGGAGCUGGUCUGCAUCUCACACACACAGCUGGGCCCAGAUUCCCAGAAGGUUCUAGGUCCAUGCGUAUUAGGGUGUGGGCUUGACUUCACCAAAGCAUGGGGCAUUUUUACCUUCCUGUCCUCUGCAAAGGGGACUCCCCCUCCAUCUCAUGCCGGGCUCUCUCCUCCGCCUCCUCCACCCCGGAGCCCUCCUGCUGCUGUGCAUCUCGGGUUGUAACAAAUGAGUUACCAAAGGCUCCAACAAGCUGCUCGUCGUUAUCCCCGGCAGGAGAAAAGCAGCCACGACCUGGAGCUGGGACCUUGUUAGAGUUUGUAAUGAGCUGAAGGGAAAAUAUUUCUGCCUGAUUAGAAUCCCUAAUGAGCUGCUGACUAUGGUGAGCAGGGGAAGGCCAGCUUCCAGCUCUCUCCCCAGCCCUUCUCACACCUCUUCCUGCUCCCAAGCAGAGCUCCAAGCAGGAGAGCAUUCUUUGCCAGCAGUUAAAACCAUAAAGAACAACACGAAGCAGCCCCUGCCUGUCUCUCUUCUCCCUCUCCCUAGAAGGAUGCCUCGGUCUUAUUCAUUUCUCCAUGCACAUCAACCGCUGCCACCUGCUAACAUCCUAAUGAUGCCACCUGGACCUAUCCAUAAUUGGUCACAGGUGCCCCAUGGGUCCUGGCAACGUCCUCAGGCAGAGAGAGAUAGAAAGGUGGGAGAACACAGCAUCUGACCAGCCACUGGAAACAUGAGACCACAGGCCAGAUUCCCACCGCAACGAGUCGGAGCAAAGUCUCCAAUGCAAAGAAUUUUGCUCAGUUUGCUCCAUUUUCAGGCAGGCUCUCUCCACGUGGCAACAAAGAUGAUGUAAGCAGUUCCAGGCUUACCUCCCUCACACAGCCAGCGAAGCCAGAGAAAGGAGCCUGCCCCUCUCUCCCUCACCACCCAUCCUGGUCCCUGAAAAUGACUUAUAAUCCCCAGCUUGGGUCAUAUCCCCACUGCUGGGCAGGGACAGGCAGAGCUCCAUGGAUAACAGCCUCACCUGAAACACAGGUGUUGGAGGACAGUUUCCCAAAGGAAAGGACGCAGAGCAAACCCCAAGGAGCUGAUGUCCCUCAUGAGCACCUCAGCUAUGUGCCCGAAGUUCAUCACACUUCCUCUCCCACCUCCCCUUCUCUUGCCAUGAGCUCUCACCUACCAUUCCUCUUCUCUGCUCCUCACAAAUGGGCGAAGGCCCUCCCUAUCGCUCAGCAACAUGUCCCUGAUAGAUUCGAUCUCAUCAGCUGCUAACAUCCU
Molecule: long non-coding RNA, 2167 nt
Organism: Equus caballus (horse)
Lineage: Eukaryota; Metazoa; Chordata; Mammalia; Perissodactyla; Equidae
Source: Ensembl